Molecule: long non-coding RNA, 2446 nt
Filed under: Phasianus colchicus (ring-necked pheasant)
Lineage: Eukaryota; Metazoa; Chordata; Aves; Galliformes; Phasianidae
Description: lncRNA (ENSPCLG00000002055.1)
Source: RNAcentral
AUGGAUAACACAUGGUGGUUGUACUUCAUCUUUUGUCACCGUGGAGGUUUUCUUUUGGCAUCCAAACUGGCCAUGAACACUUCCAGGACGGGGGCAUCCACAACUUCCAGUCUCACCACCUUCACAGUAAGUAUUUUCUUCCUAAUAUCUACCCUCUUUCAGUUUAAAGCCAUUUCCCCUUGUCCUGUCACUACAUGCCCUUAUAAAAAGUCCCUUCCCUGGAUUGUGACCAGUUUCUCAGCUAUGUAUUUAUCUGCUGUGGUUUCCUGGUCCUUUCAGUAUCCCUCUCUGCUGCUGAAGGGAUAGAGGAGAACACCACCUGUACUCCCUCUCCAUCCACUCAUUGCUCUAAUCCCCUAAAAUCCCUUUUGAUAGCCCUAAGGCUACACUCAGCAAUUUCAUUGCUGCUAGCCUGUACUACCAGUAAAGAAUAAUAAUCAGAGGGGUGAUCCAGGCCAGGAAAUUUUCUGGUAAUGUCCUGAUCCAGACUCCACUGAAACAGCAGACUUCCCUACAGGGAGGCUCUUGCCAACCUUGCCCUCCCCUCAGAAGGGAGUAACCUAUGACACUUAUCCUUCUUUCCUUUUUGGUGGAGGUGGUCUUGAGGGGUUGAGUAGACUGCUUUGCCCUAGGCAAUGUCCUGGGUGCACCUUCCACUGCUUCCUCACUUACCUUUCUCUCGAGUUCCAAAGCCUCAGGUCUAGUAUUUAAGGACCUGGGAAGGUGAGGUAUGUAGGGAGUGGGUUUGCCUGUGAUGCCUAGCAAGGACCUGCUUCCAUUCCUACCCAUUUCUUAGGUGUCCUCCCUUUGCCUGACAGUGACAGGGUAGGGGAUCCAUCAGUACUUGGGGUGUAUCACUCUGAUGACUUUCUUGUAGAUAUGGCGGGGAGUCUACCAGUCUAUCUCCUGCUCACUCUUUGUGAUGCUCCUUACUCCUUAAUCUCUCCACCUCCUUGCUGAGCUCUGCCACCAGGUUGAGCAGAUCAUCUACCUGCUCAUACCUCAUGCAGGUGGUAUCUCUACCACCCUUCAAUGGCAGCAAUAGGCUCAGGCAUUCCCUGCAGCCAGAGACCUGAACUGCCACAUUUCUGGGCAGGCACUUGGUCUGGGUAGCUGCAUUCUUUUUGGCAAGAGCUUUCUACCUAGUGGAGACUACUAUAGUGGCUGCUGGUAGUUUAUUGCUGGGAGGUCUUUGAAAUAAUGAUAGAGGUCAGUGUUUUGGGUAGGGAGGUGGCCUGGCUCUCCUUCAACUCCAUACCAUGGUCUGAUGGCAUAGAUAGUGCUGAGAUACUGGGUAGUGCAAAGUCAUAUCUGUGGCAAAUGGAUCUCUUCCUCAUAUUCCAGUGGACCCAUGCCCAGGGAUUCCUUGGCAGACAUUGCUGGAGAGAGAUGCAGUACCCCCAUACCAUUUUCUCUGCAAUGGAUGGUGCUGGGCCUGAUGGGGUUUUCUAGUUGCUACACCUUCAUUGACACCUCACUAUUCUCUUUACAGUAGACAUGCCUGAGUGCACGCUGCUGCAUGGACAGUGAGGACGUCUUUGUCCCAGACCAUUCUUUGGACAGCAGGCCUGUCUGAGCCCCAUGACAUUCUCUGGACGGUGGGCAUGCCAGGGCCCUGUGCCAUUCUCAGAAUGUCAGGCAUGUCUGGGAUCCACAUCCAUGGGCUCCUUGCCAUUUUGUACAGACUUGAAUGUGAUAAUGUAUGUAUUUGCUGGGCAAGGAUUUUCUUUGCCUGCCUUCAUUGGCUGUGCAAUGAUGGAGCGCAGUGCAAAGGACAGGGAUGUGGUGGUCAUUGUGAUGUCCAGAGGCUGCUGCAAUGUCCAACCCUGACUGUGUAGGGCAUGGGAUGGUUGUGAUCUGUGUUCUGAUUCCUUCAUGUGGAAGAAGGAGAAAGGUUGGGAAGACCUGGGGAGAGCUCUCCUGUGCUAUUUUGCUAGCCGGAGGGAAAGGCUGUCCCUUGGGCACAGUGUUUUAACCCAUCAAGAGUUGUGCACCAGGCAGCCUUUCACUCUCUAGAAUCAGUGAAAGAACUGGAAAAAGGAAAAACUUGGGUGUUGAAACGAAUACAUGUAAUAAGACAGAAACUAUAGGUAAAAUAGCACUAAUAGCAUAUAUAUGUUACAUAUAUGGUAUAUAAUCUUACAUAUACACAUACAAAAAAAGCGAUGCACAAUGCAACUGCUCACCACCUGCCAAGCAAUCCCCUGCCAGUUCCCCAAACAGUACUGCCUUCUCCUCCUGCCUUGUCAAAUCCCCUAUGUUUUUUGUCUGCAUCUUCUCAUAUGGCAUGAAAUAUCUCCUUGAACAGUUUAGGUCAGCUGUUGUGGUUCUGUUCCUUCCAGCUUCUCACCCUCAACCUCCUCACUGGCAGGUCAGCAUAAAAGGGUGAAAAAUACUUGUCUUAAUGUUAAGACUGCUCAACAAAUAAAAUAGUGGUGUGCUAUCA